GAUAAGAGCCCCAUUUCCUUUUAUUGUGGGUAUAAUAGAAUUAAUUAGAGAUUUUGUUUCUGCAAUUCAUUUGCAUCCACUACCAAUCAACGUGCAUAUUUCUUUCCUGAUAUCAAAUAAACCAUCACAAGCACGUUACUAGACCAAAGAAAUAGAAAAACGCCAAAUUUCCUUUUUAGCUCUACUCUUUUUAUUUCUGCUACACGAUUACAUCAACCUACACGGUUACAUUAUGAAAUUCUCACAAUGAUUCAUUUGUUCAUGGAAAAUAAAUUCCAAGUCUUGUUGUCCUUCAAUUUUCGUGUAGAACCAAGUUUUGAGUCCUUUCUCUCUUGCAAGCUCUUUUGUGGAACCAGAAGCCUCAUUAAGAUGCGUGGAACUAGAAGCCUCAUUAAUAAAUAAAGCGUAUCAAGUAAGGGCUUUUACCUCAUACGUCCAUACUGAGUACUAGGAUGAUGUUAUGAAUUAGAGUGCUUUGAGUAUGAACCAAUUCCGAAAACCCAAGGGGACUUGGAAGGCCUAGAAGGAAUCAAGCUCACGAAGAAGAAGAGAAUCCUAAUGUUAAUAUGUGAGCAUAAAUAUUGCAUCAACAACAACUGAUGCAGCAACAAUAUUAGGAACAACAAGCUCAGUAGGCCUUGCAGCAUCAAAAGAUCAUGCAGAUGAUACAAAUACAAUGGAAGAUUAAUCAACAUGCUCAGUCUCAGGGACAAUGGGCUAAUAUGAUGCAAAAAGGCCAAUCCUUUCAGCCGAAUACAACAUUCAGAUAGUAUGAUAAGAAUCAUCCCUCGGAGUUCAAUGGGGAAGUUGAUCCACAAGAAGCAAAAAGGUGGAUCAAGCAGAUGGAGAAAAUUUUCCGAUUGGCUGAAUGCUCAUAAGCAGAUAAUGUCAUGGAUGCUACCAAUUGAUUUAGAGGCGCAACAUAAGAUUGGUGGGAAGGUGCUCAACGUCGUAUGACGGUCAAUGAUGUAGAAAUCAAUUGGGCUAGUUUUAAGAAAGCAAUAAUGGAGAAGUACCUUCCGAAGUCUUUCAAGAUUAAGAAAGAGCAAGAAUUUCUGGAACUUAAGCAAGGGAACAUGUCAAUAAAUGAAGGGGUCAAGGAUAUGUUAUGCAUGAAAGCAGCUGGGGCAUUUUAUAACCGAGUGUCCAAAUAGGAAAGGCAAAAGUGGGACUGAGGAAGUUCGCUAGAGGAUGGGAUGAAUAGCGUUUUUCGUUUUUCAAUUUUUUUUAGGAAUACAUGGAUUAAAAAGAGUAUGACUAUUGAAUCUGUGUUUGAUGAUGAUAAAAAACUAAGACAAUGAAUAUCAAAUAUGAUUCAAAGGUGAAUUGAGAAUUUAAAUAUUUAAUCUUUUAGAACAAAUCAACAAUCAAUACAAAUACAUUAAAAAUGCCUAAUGCUUAGAAGAUUGUAUUUAAGCCCUUCAACAAGCAUAACAUUUU
Long non-coding RNA from Medicago truncatula (barrel medic), 1440 nucleotides. RefSeq lists it as uncharacterized. Lineage: Eukaryota; Viridiplantae; Streptophyta; Magnoliopsida; Fabales; Fabaceae. The record is from RefSeq and is a predicted model, not a curated record. The transcript has 3 exons.